Long non-coding RNA from Catharus ustulatus (Swainson's thrush), 478 nucleotides. RefSeq lists it as uncharacterized. NCBI's taxonomy places the organism in Eukaryota, Metazoa, Chordata, Aves, Passeriformes, Turdidae. The record is from RefSeq and is a predicted model, not a curated record. The transcript has 4 exons.
UGUCAGAAGCUGCUGUCUCCAAGUGGCCUUUGGGUCCACAGAGCCAGAACAGCACAUUCAUGAAGACUAAAUGCUGUGUUGUCUGAAGCUUUGACUGCACCACAGGCACUCUGCAAAAAUAUCUUCUUACAGCUGCAAGGGCUUCACACCCACUAUGUUUGACUGUGUUGGGAGCCUGAGCACAGGCACUGCACUGGUGUAAAUCCUCAUGGAAGACAUUGCAGCUAUGACAACUUACACCAGCACCUGAGCUUCCCUGGAACUAACACGACAAAGCAGCAAUGUUAGUGAGCAGUAGAGAAUUAUUAAAAGAACACAGAUAAUUGGAAGAAAACAAAUGGCCUGGGUAGAAGAGCUACCAUAAAAUGAAGUGCAGACAUGGAAGAAGGAGAUACUCAGAACCUCCUGGUAAUAUGCUACUUUCCAGUUCCACAUUCAUUUUUUUGCACUUCUAGUGUUCAGCAUAAAGUUGUGGUGG